This 23-nucleotide non-coding RNA is filed under the name Cricetulus griseus (Chinese hamster). Lineage: Eukaryota; Metazoa; Chordata; Mammalia; Rodentia; Cricetidae. The record is from RNAcentral.
AGUGCUAGUGACUGAACACAGGG